This 253-nucleotide ribosomal RNA is filed under the name uncultured bacterium. Its description in RNAcentral is "partial 16S ribosomal RNA". It matches the Rfam family "Bacterial small subunit ribosomal RNA", at positions 524 to 776 of the family's 1533-position model. The record is from RNAcentral.
UACAGGGGGGGCAAGGGUUGUUCGGAAUUACUGGGCGUAAAGGGCUCGUAGGUGGCCAACUAAGUCAGACGUGAAAUCCCUCAGCUUAACUGGGGAACUGCGUCUGAUACUGGAUGGCUUGAGUUUGGGAGAGGGAUGCGGAAUUCCAGGUGUAGCGGUGAAAUGCGUAGAUAUCUGGAGGAACACCGGUGGCGAAGGCGGCAUCCUGGACCAAUACUGACACUGAGGAGCGAAAGCCAGGGGAGCAAACGGG